ACAUGCCUACAAUGUAGUGUUAAUGCAUCAUAUCCCAUUAGAACUCUGUAGUUAAGCGUGCUCAAGCUAGAGUAAUACUAGGAUGGGUGAUCGCCUCAGAAUUCCUAGUGUUUUACAUGCC
Molecule: non-coding RNA, 121 nt
Organism: Picea glauca (white spruce)
Lineage: Eukaryota; Viridiplantae; Streptophyta; Pinopsida; Pinales; Pinaceae
Source: Rfam